RNAcentral lists this long non-coding RNA (2117 nucleotides) under Olea europaea (common olive). RNAcentral's name for it is "long non-coding RNA (OEUR_LNC006363)". The record is from RNAcentral. Lineage: Eukaryota; Viridiplantae; Streptophyta; Magnoliopsida; Lamiales; Oleaceae.
CUCUAUAAAUUUGCGCUCAAUGUUCUCAACUUUAAUCUUGUACAAUUUGGUCAUUGAAUUUUGACUUUCAUUUCAAUCAUACCUCCAAAAUUUCAACCCAAGGUUCAUCAACUUUCUCCCAUUGUGCAAUUUGGUCACCAACUCCAUGUUUUUGUACGCUUUUGAUCAAUUUUCUCUCCCUUUUGCCUUGUUCUCUUUCUGUUUGGCGUUUAUGACCAACAAAAAUCAAAAUUAGCCAAUUGUAAAUAGAAAAUCACUCAACUUAAUCAAUAAUUAGCUUGUUAAAAUAUUUAAUAAUUGUACAAAAAUGCACCUAUCAAAUACUUCCAAACUUAUGUUCUUGCUCAUCCCAAGCAAGAUUAUCUACAACAUAAAUCAAGCAAACGUGAUAAUAAUUAACACAUUAGAUAGCUUGCCAAAAAUAUCGAAGAGUGUAAAAUUGUAUAGUCAAUUCACAAAUAUGCUCCAAAUAAUGCAAGCAAAAAUAAUUUAAUCUUAUCCAAUAUUUGAUCGGUGUGUGCGCUCGUACAAAGUCACUUUCAAUCAUCAUCUAAAUUAAGAAAAAGUUGUCAAGACAGAAGAAAUUUCAAAUUAGCACAAACCCGACCUUUAGUGGUCAAAUAUUUCCUUUCUACUCGUGAAAUUCACACACUCAAAUAGGUAAUCCUUUUUUUUUGGCCCCCGGGUGUAAAUCUAAAGGCUUCUAUCAAAUCACCCAUUUCAUUUCCCGCUCUUGUUCGGCUGGGCCUGACUAGCAAUCUCAACAUCUAGACAUGUAAUGAUUCCACACUAAUGAGUGCUUCAACAUUCAAGUUUAUACUAAGUAAUUCAAAGGCACUACUUAUAAAAGCCCAAUUAUCAAAUAUAAUUGCACAAUAAUAAUUUUUUUUCCCUUCUUUCAAUUAAAUCUCAUAUUUUACCUUACUCCCCUUGAACUUUCUUUUUAUUACACUACAUUUCAUUCCUGUUAUCUUCUAGUAAACUCUCAGUGAUUGAUCUGGGCUAAUACUUCCUGGGUUACAGAUUCCCAGGGCUUACAGUAGAGCAACAACAACAGCUAAUCUACAGGAAAUUACUCAGCAGCUUCAGGGUUCUAACAUUGAUCUACAGACAGAAAAUUCUCAAACGAUUCAAAUUUCACAAACUAAAUUACCAAAUAUACACAAAGACAGACGUAUGUCUUCUAGAUAGAUUUAUACAUAUCCGUGUGCACUAUCUGUUGCAAUCAUGGGCUCUUCUGCCUCCCCUUUCUCAAAUCCCAUUUCAUAUUUUUCAUCAUAUUGAGUUUAUGCUAAAAAGGGAUCAUCAAUUGAAUUGUCCAAGAUAACAAAACACAAAAAAGAAUGGUGCAGGUAAUGUUGAUAACAAAAACAUGACAGGCUAAAAAAUCUAAAUUUUUAUGUAUACUCCACUCAAUUUUUCAGUAUGAAGAAUUAUGACAUGUUAUUGCCUAAUAUUUACGUUUCUUCCACUCAAUUAUACAAUCUGGUGGACAAGUUUAAACAGUUUAUUAGUUUAUUAUCCUCAACUAUUCAAUUAACUAAAAUUCCCAUUACAGCAAAUAGGAAGAAAAGAUAACAUUCAAAAAGCCAGCUAACGCAAAUGUUCAAUUUUAUUUUCCUUAAAUCCUGAAGAGUAUAACAUAGCGAAGAGUUAUAAAAUUGUGUUAAUUAAAUGAUAAAGAGGGAAUGUUACUUGACAUACACCAUGUGAAAAGCGAGCCAUCGAAGGCGGCGGCAGUAGUGUGCUCACAUCCACAAGCAAUAUGAAGCCACUAGAAUUUAUGUCGGCGGGACAACAGAUUGCGCUCUUCGUGGGGACAUUUCCCCGUUGUGAAUCCCCAAAUAGCUCAUUGAUCUCCAUAUUUCUUUACUACUUAUUAUCAAUUCCGCACAUCCUAGAAGAAAUCAUAAAACCAAUGUAGAAAAUGGAUAACUAACUAUGACUGAAAUCAAUUUGGGGAAUGGGAAAUGAGAAAUUAGUAAAGUCAAUUGUCACCUACGGAAGAAUUGAGCCACGAACAGUUAAAUCGAGAUGGGUCUUAGACGGAAAGUUGGAAACUGAGUUUUUAUUUUUUUAUUUUUUUUGGCAUUCAUUACCUUAGUUCUUCGAUCUCC